CCUACGGGUGGCAGCAGUGAGGAAUAUUGGUCAAUGGACGAAAGUCUGAACCAGCCAAGUAGCGUGAAGGAUGAAUGCUCUAUGGAUUGUAAACUUCUUUUAUCUGGGAAUAAAGUGUUGCACGUGUGCGGUUUUGUAUGUACCAUAUGAAUAAGGAUCGGCUAACUCCGUGCCAGCAGCCGCGGUAAUACGGAGGAUCCGAGCGUUAACCGGAUUUAUUGGGUUUAAAGGGUGCGUAGGUGGCUUGUUAAGUCAGUUGUGAAAGUUUGUGGCUCAACCGUAAAAUUGCAGUUGAAACUGGCAGUCUUGAGUACGUUAGAGGUGGGCGGAAUGCGUGGUGUAGCGGUGAAAUGCUUAGAUAUCACGAAGAACUCCGAUUGCGAAGGCAGCUUACUAAGCUGCAACUGACACUGAGGCUCGAAAGUGUGGGUAUCAAACAGGAUUAGAUACCCCGGUAGUC
RNAcentral lists this ribosomal RNA (460 nucleotides) under uncultured bacterium. RNAcentral describes it as "partial 16S ribosomal RNA". It matches the Rfam family "Bacterial small subunit ribosomal RNA", at positions 338 to 795 of the family's 1533-position model. The record is from RNAcentral.